RNAcentral lists this ribosomal RNA (429 nucleotides) under bacterium. RNAcentral's name for it is "partial 16S ribosomal RNA". It matches the Rfam family "Bacterial small subunit ribosomal RNA", at positions 355 to 776 of the family's 1533-position model. The record is from RNAcentral.
UAGGGAAUCUUCCACAAUGGACGCAAGUCUGAUGGAGCAACGCCGCGUGAGUGAAGAAGGUUUUCGGAUCGUAAAGCUCUGUUGUUGGUGAAGAAGGAUAGAGGCAGUAACUGGUCUUUAUUUGACGGUAAUCAACCAGAAAGUCACGGCUAACUACGUGCCAGCAGCCGCGGUAAUACGUAGGUGGCAAGCGUUGUCCGGAUUUAUUGGGCGUAAAGCGAGCGCAGGCGGAAUGAUAAGUCUGAUGUGAAAGCCCACGGCUCAACCGUGGAACUGCAUCGGAAACUGUCAAUCUUGAGUGCAGAAGAGGAGAGUGGAAUUCCAUGUGUAGCGGUGGAAUGCAUAGAUAUAUGGAAGAACACCAGUGGCGAAGGCGGCUCUCUGGUCUGCAACUGACGCUGAGGCUCGAAAGCAUGGGUAGCGAACAGG